UGGGUCACCUGAAUCAAUCAUUCUUCCC
RNAcentral lists this non-coding RNA (28 nucleotides) under Mus musculus (house mouse). Lineage: Eukaryota; Metazoa; Chordata; Mammalia; Rodentia; Muridae. The record is from RNAcentral.